CCAAGGCUAAAUACUCCUGACUGACCGAUAGUGAACCAGUACCGUGAGGGAAAGGCGAAAAGAACCCCGGCGAGGGGAGUGAAAAAGAACCUGAAACCGUGUACGUACAAGCAGUGGGAGCCCCACCACUAAGCCAGUGGUGAACUCCACAUCCGCAUCCUUUGCUGAGGAUACGGUUAACGGAGCGAAAGCGACGUUCAACCGCAAAACAAGCAGAGGGGGCUUAGUGGUGGGGUGACUGCGUACCUUUUGUAUAAUGGGUCAGCGACUUAUAUUCUGUAGCAAGGUUAACCGAAUAGGGGAGCCGGAGGGAAACCGAGUCUUAAUUGGGCGUUAAGUUGCAGGGUAUAGACCCGAAACCCGGUGAUCUAGCCAUGGGCAGGUUGAAGGUUGGGUAACACUAACUGGAGGACCGAACCGACUAAUGUUGAAAAAUUAGCGGAUGACCUGUGGCUGGGGGUGAAAGGCCAAUCAAACCGGGAGAUAGCUGGUUCUCCCCGAAAGCUAUUUAGGUAGCGCCUCGUGAAUUCAUCUCCGGGGGUAGAGCACUGUUUCGGCUAGGGGGCCAUCCCGGCUUACCAACCCGAUGCAAACUGCGAAUACCGGAGAAUGUUAUCACGGGAGACACACGGCGGGUGCUAACGUCCGUCGUGAAGAGGGAAACAACCCAGACCGCCAGCUAAGGUCCCAAAGUCAUGGUUAAGUGGGAAACGAUGUGGGAAGGCCCAGACAGCCAGGAUGUUGGCUUAGAAGCAGCCAUCAUUUAAAGAAAGCGUAAUAGCUCACUGGUCGAGUCGGCCUGCGCGGAAGAUGUAACGGGGCUAAACCAU
This 830-nucleotide ribosomal RNA is filed under the name Salmonella enterica subsp. enterica serovar Typhimurium. Its description in RNAcentral is "partial 23S ribosomal RNA". It matches the Rfam family "Bacterial large subunit ribosomal RNA", at positions 460 to 1190 of the family's 2925-position model. The record is from RNAcentral. Lineage: Bacteria; Pseudomonadati; Pseudomonadota; Gammaproteobacteria; Enterobacterales; Enterobacteriaceae.